UAUCUUGUUGUUUUUGCCAGGUUAUUGAGGGCCUGUUUCAUGUUGCUGCCCACACAUUCAAUGUGGUGGACACCGUCUACAUUAUGAAUCACUACUCAGCAGGUGGGAUUUUGUUCAGUGACAGAACUGAACUACCUCGUCACAGUUUACCAAAGGUAAACUUUGACAACUAUGAAGCUGUUCUGUCAUUUGUGCUAGUCAACGGCAACCACUGGAACUUACUGUACAUUAAUGCAGAAACCAGCACAGUAUUUCUGAUGGAUCCAGCACGAUUGUCAUCAGAGCUUGAGGACUCUGAACAUGCUGCUAAAAGAAUACAGUAAAUCAACAUUUCAGCUAGUUUUGAAAAUUCUAAUACAAAUAUAUCUAAAUGUUUAAAGUGAAUAACAGUUAUUUACAUUAAUAUUCACAUACAACACUGACAACUGCUGUAAAUGAGAAUUGUGUAGAGGUAAGUAUUCAGUGAGUAACAUUUAUGGCUGAUCUGCACCAGUCCAUCAAACUUUGUUUAUUCACUUAAGUUACCAACUGUAACAAAAUCCCUAUUUAAAGUGUAUUAAAAUUAACGUUAUUCAGGGAAUACUUAAGGAUGCGGAGGACACGCCAUGGCAAAGAAGACUGGUUGGAUAUUAGGUGGAAAGGGGGAGUUAUGAGCCACCCAGUUCAACAGGAUGGAAGUAGCUGCGGUGUCAUUGUUGUCAAGAUGGCAAAAGCAGUGAUGGAGGCAUUUCCUCAGAUCCCAGAUGUUAAAUUUGAGACAUCCAAAAAGGCCAUGAAAAAGGAGAGGAGAGAUCUGGCUCUCGAAAUCCUAAAGGCAUCAGUCUUUGAUGAGCACACUUGUUGCGCAAUGUGUGCAGCCGUGAAGCCUCCGGGAUCUGGACCUCCCAUUACAGACUGGGUGAGUUGUU
RNAcentral lists this long non-coding RNA (908 nucleotides) under Gadus morhua (Atlantic cod). RNAcentral describes it as "lncRNA (ENSGMOG00000031457.1)". The record is from RNAcentral. Lineage: Eukaryota; Metazoa; Chordata; Actinopteri; Gadiformes; Gadidae.